UCGGGGUAUUCCACAAAAAAUUACCCUGCGGGAUGAAAUGGAAUAUUUCAUCCCUCAGGGUAAUUUUUUGUGGAAUACCCCU
Molecule: non-coding RNA, 82 nt
Organism: Paramuricea clavata
Lineage: Eukaryota; Metazoa; Cnidaria; Anthozoa; Malacalcyonacea; Plexauridae
Source: the annotation of a GenBank genome assembly